Molecule: ribosomal RNA, 416 nt
Filed under: uncultured bacterium
Lineage: Bacteria
Description: bacterial SSU rRNA
Rfam family: Bacterial small subunit ribosomal RNA
Source: RNAcentral
UCGAGAAUCUUCGGCAAUGGGCGCAAGCCUGACCGAGCGACGCCGCGUGGAGGAUGAAGGCCUUCGGGUUGUAAACUCCUGUCGAGGGGGAGGAAGGCCGGGCGACCGGCUUGACCGAUCCCUGGAGGAAGCACGGGCUAAGUUCGUGCCAGCAGCCGCGGUAAGACGAACCGUGCGAACGUUAUUCGGAAUCACUGGGCUUAAAGCGCGUGUAGGCGGAUGGGGACGUCGGAGUCUGAAAGCCCCCGGCUCAACCGGGGAAGUGGAUCCGAAACGCCCCGUCUGGAGGGACGUAGGGGGACCUGGAACUUCCGGUGGAGCGGUGAAAUGCGUUGAGAUCGGAAGGAACGCCCGUGGCGAAAGCGAGGUCCUGGACGUCUGCUGACGCUGAGACGCGAAAGCUAGGGGAGCGAACG